AUUUUUAACCGGAUUUUUGUGACAAAAAUGUCGGUUAUUGAUUUGGGGAUGUACGGCGGGCGGUCGGGCGGGCGGGCGGGCGGGCGGCAAUCAAAUGUUGUCCGUGCAUUAACUCAUGAACCGUUCAACCAAAGCUUUUAAAAUUUUUAAUAUGUUAUUACUGACAACUAUACGAAGGUCAAGUUCAAUAAUGGCGAUUUUGACUUUUACCGUUCAGGAGUUAUGGUUCUUGAAAGGCGGCAAUCAAAUGUUGUCCGUGCAUUAACUCAUGAACCGUUCAACCAAAGCUUUUAAAAUUUUAAUAUGUUAUUACUGACAACUAUACGAAGGUCAAGUUCAAUAAUGGCGAUUUUGACUUUUACCGUUCAGGAGUUAUGGUUCUUGAAAGAUUGAAAAAUGGAGUUUUCAGUCGUGUCCGUGCAUUUACUCAUGAACUGUUCUACCAAAGCUUCCCAAAUUUUAAUAUGUUGUUACUGAUGACAGAAUGGAGGUCAAGUUCAAUAAUGACGAUUUUGACUUUUACCGUUCAGGAGUUAUGGUUCUUGAAAGAUUGAAAAAUGGUGUUUCCCGUCGUGUCCGUGCAUUUUCUCAUGAACCAUUCAACCAAAGCUUUUGAAAUUUUAAUAUGUUGUUACUGAUGACAAAAUAGAGGUCAAGUUCCAUAAUGACGAUUUUGACUUUUACUGUUCAGGAGUUAUGGUUCUUGAAAGAUCGUAAAAUGGCGUUUCCAUUCACGUUGUUGCAUUUACUCAUGAACCAUUCAAUCUAAGCUUUUCAAAUAUUAUUAUUUCAAAAUGUUGAUACUGAUGACAAAAUGGAGGUCAAAUUUGAUAUUGAUGAUUUUCACUUUCACCAUUCAUCAGUAAUGGUUCGUGUGAUAUUGCCAGG
This 888-nucleotide long non-coding RNA is filed under the name Mytilus galloprovincialis (Mediterranean mussel). The record is from RNAcentral. Lineage: Eukaryota; Metazoa; Mollusca; Bivalvia; Mytilida; Mytilidae.